GGAAAUAUAGCUCAGUUGGUAGAGUGCUUGCCUUGCAAGCACAAGGCCCUGGGUUCAAUCCCCGGCACCA
This 70-nucleotide transfer RNA is filed under the name Ictidomys tridecemlineatus (thirteen-lined ground squirrel). RNAcentral's name for it is "Spermophilus tridecemlineatus (thirteen-lined ground squirrel) tRNA". It matches the Rfam family "tRNA". Rfam says of the family: Transfer RNA (tRNA) molecules are approximately 80 nucleotides in length. Their secondary structure includes four short double-helical elements and three loops (D, anti-codon, and T loops). The record is from Rfam by way of RNAcentral. Lineage: Eukaryota; Metazoa; Chordata; Mammalia; Rodentia; Sciuridae.